GGGAAAGCGUGCCAGGCUCCAGCCUAUGGGACCGUUGUUCUGCUGCCACCUGGAAAUCCUCCCAGAGCUCAAAGCCUGCUGCUCUGGGCAAAGCUGACAAGGAAGGACAGAUUCAGCAGCCAACCAAGGAGCAUACCUUCAUUUGAUUUCCUUAAGGCAAAAGCACUGGCUAAACAAAGGGAGACUAUCUGGGAGAAGGUGUUUUCACCCUUUCAAGCUGGGGUGCUUUCACCACCGGGAAGUGCCACGCUGCUUUCCACGCUGGAACAAGGACUCACUUCCUAAGGCCUUGGUUCCCCAGGAGCUGUUGGCCAGAAGCCUCCCUCGGUGCCCUGCCUCAUGGGCCUCUUCGUUGAGCAUCUCACAACGUGGCAGCUUACUUCAUCAGUGCAAGCAAGCAAGAGCAAGAGAGAGGACUCACCAGAGACAGUAAUAGCAAAACAGAAGGCACAGUCUUUCGUAAUCCAAUCACAGAUGUGACAUCCCAUCACUGUUGCCACAUCCUGUGAGUUAGAAAUGGUGGAGCCUUACUCUGUCGCUCAGGCUGGAGUGCAGUGGCGAGAUCUCGGCUCAAUGCAACAUCCGCCUCCCAGGUUCAAAUGAUUCUCCUGCCUCAGUCUCCGGAGUAGCUGGGAUUACAGGUGCCUGCCACCAUGCCCCGCUAAUUUUUGUAUUUUUAGUAGAGACGGGGUUUCACUAUGUUGGCCAGGCUGGUCUCGAAAUCCUGACCUCAGGUGAUCUGCCUGCCUCGGCCUCCCAAAGUGCUGGGAUUACAGGCAUGAGCCUCCAUGCCCGGCCUUGCUUUUUAUAUUUUUGACAAUAACAGAGCCACGGGAAGAAAGGAUGUGAUUAGGGGAAGAAAAAAGGGGAGAGGUUCAUGUUGUCUUUAUUUUCAUUAAUGAAUGUCUCAAACAUUUUAGGGUAUAAAUAGCAAUCAGUAUUUAGGAAAGGAAGCUGGAUUCACACUACUUGGAAAUCUGGGUCUUUACUCAUCCAUGGCAAUUUUUGGGUAUCAUGUGCUCUUACAGAAUCUCAUCUUAUGAUAUAGAUUCAGUUUACAGCUAUUCUAUGAUGCUUGAGUAUUUCAAAUAUUAAGUACAUUGAGGCUCAUGAGAAUUGCUAAUCUGCCGUGUGAAACUGCAGAGUUGUUUCCCAAGGGUAGAGAUGCAUUCACAUCCACCCACAUAGUACAAAGGGGGAAAUGAUUACGCUGGCCUGGAUUUUUUGUAAUAGUCCCGUGACAUGGCUUCCACAUUGCUCUGUGGGCUGUGGUUAAAGAACCUAAUCUAGAACAAGACAAGACUUGUAGAUUUAAAAAGUCACCUAAGCUGUUUCUUUCCUAGACAAAUGGGAUUCUAGUUUGGGUUUUAUUUUAUUUUAUUAUUUUUUGAGACAGUCUCAUUCUGUCAUCCAGGCUGGAAUGCUGUGGCGCAAUCUCGGCUCACUGCAAACUCUGCCCCCUGGGUUCAAGCUAUUCUCCUGCCUCAGCCCACCUAGUAGCUGGGAUUACAGGUGUGUGCCACCACACUCAGCUAAUUUUUUUGUAUUUUUAGUAGAGACGAGGUUUCACCAUGUUAGCCAGGAUGGUUUCAAACUCCUGGCCUCAUGUGAUUCACCCACCUUGGCCUCUCAAAGUGCUGGGAUUAUAGGCAUAAGCCACAGUGCCCAGCCCUAAUUUGAGUUUCAGAGGGCAAUUUGUACCGUUUGGAAAAGAUGCUGGAUCCUUCAAUAUUACUGCUUUAGAAAGAUUUGGAACUCUGACCCAUAUUUAGUACAUGACCUUUCUGGGGCGUGGAAAAAUAUGCUCUGUCAUCUAAUGUGAUGUCAAUUUUCUUUAACCUUCCAUGUAAAUAGUGCGCAUUAAGACAUGAGGUCUACUGUUAAAUAAUUUCUCUUUAUAAACAUAGUGACAACAAGAUUGUACAGUAUCAAUUAAAAAGACCCAAUGUGACCAG
This 1955-nucleotide long non-coding RNA is filed under the name Homo sapiens (human). Its description in RNAcentral is "novel transcript, antisense to NUMB and HEATR4". Lineage: Eukaryota; Metazoa; Chordata; Mammalia; Primates; Hominidae. The record is from RNAcentral.